UUGCAUAUCAAUAAGCGGAGGAAAAGAAACCAACCGGGAUUGCCUUAGUAACGGCGAGUGAAGCGGCAAAAGCUCAAAUUUGAAAUCUGGUACCUUCGGUGCCCGAGUUGUAAUUUGGAGAGGGCAACUUUGGGGCCGUUCCUUGUCUAUGUUCCUUGGAACAGGACGUCAUAGAGGGUGAGAAUCCCGUGUGGCGAGGAGUGCGGUUCUUUGUAAAGUGCCUUCGAAGAGUCGAGUUGUUUGGGAAUGCAGCUCUAAGUGGGUGGUAAAUUCCAUCUAAAGCUAAAUAUUGGCGAGAGACCGAUAGCGAACAAGUACAGUGAUGGAAAGAUGAAAAGAACUUUGAAAAGAGAGUGAAAAAGUACGUGAAAUUGUUGAAAGGGAAGGGCAUUUGAUCAGACAUGGUGUUUUGUGCCCUCUGCUCCUUGUGGGUAGGGGAAUCUCGCAUUUCACUGGGCCAGCAUCAGUUUUGGUGGCAGGAUAAAUCCAUAGGAAUGUAGCUUGCCUCGGUAAGUAUUAUAGCCUGUGGGAAUACUGCCAGCUGGGACUGAGGACUGCGACGUAAUCAAGAUGCUGCUAAUGAC
Molecule: ribosomal RNA, 584 nt
Filed under: Saccharomyces cerevisiae (brewer's yeast)
Lineage: Eukaryota; Fungi; Ascomycota; Saccharomycetes; Saccharomycetales; Saccharomycetaceae
Description: eukaryotic LSU rRNA
Rfam family: Eukaryotic large subunit ribosomal RNA
Source: RNAcentral